AAUGAUCAAAGACAGAGAAGGAAACCAGGAGGUUGAAAAAGAGCCCCGGUUUGAUAUGUGAUCCUGAUGGAAUGAGAUAAUGAGAAAGGAGAAAAUAUGGUUCAGAAAGGGGAAGUUGAAGCAAAGCUUUUAAAAAAGAGACAGCCUAGGUUAAAUCCAACUUGCGACAUACUUGGUGUCUACACCUGUGCAGUUGAACAUCACAGGAGAAACACACACAGAAUUUCAGAUUUUGCAACAUGAGAGUCUGAAAGACAGGCCAACACAGGCGGCUCUUUGGAAACAAGAGACCUGGUACUUCCAACAGUCAAAAAGCUGGCUAAACACCAGGAAGAGGGAAAAGACACAUCAGGUAGGUUGUGUUGAUUCCACAGACCUCUUUUGAUUCUCUGCUAGAGGACUUCUUUUGACAAAGAAUGGACUUUUUUUG
Molecule: long non-coding RNA, 430 nt
Organism: Balaenoptera musculus (blue whale)
Lineage: Eukaryota; Metazoa; Chordata; Mammalia; Artiodactyla; Balaenopteridae
Exons: 4
Source: RefSeq, a predicted model, not a curated record